AUAGCUGAUAAGGCCAAAGGUUAGAAAAAUUCUAGAAAUUUCCAACAACACAAACAAUCCUACUCGAUUUGCAUUGUUCAUCUUCUUCCUUAGGAUGAAAAUGAUGUAGAGAGGAACCCUCACCUAGCAGAUUCAUGAGCGUAGAUAAACGAAGAUAUCUAGCUUGGAUUGAAUCAAUCAUUCAUUAAAAACUCUCACUUAAGCUAUGAUUCAAUCCAUUGAAUUUGUAGCAGAUGUUGAAAAAUAAUCCUCGUUUAUGUUAGCAAAUAUUUGAUUUUGUGAUCUCUAUAUUGUCUAGAAUGACUUUGAAAUGCUAUUGGCUCUUGAUGAGAACAACCUCAAACAUGGUGGUUCAUUGGCAUGACAAAUCAACAACUUUCCACAGUCAACAGUUCACUUAGUGGGAAUACACCGGGAGUAUGAUAAUCCUAUGGACAAUAGCAAUAAUUCAAGGGAGCGGUUGGCUCGCCAAAAACAAAACCUGAGACGUCGAUUGGGUAACUUAAAUUUUCAUCAAGAAGCUCUGCCAGCCAUCGACAACUUAUUUUCGAGGUGAAUAGGUUAGCUAAGGUUUCAAGAAUCCAAUUAUUGCCGGUUGAAGAAUUAGAGGAUGGAUACAUUCCCUGAUAAAUAUGAUUAUUAGUAAUUUUCCCAUGAGAUUUAUAAUUCUGGUGCAUGCUUGCAAAAGUUAUUAUUAUUUUAUGUAUGCACCUAUAGAGAGGAACUAUAAUAGAAUCAGUUGAUCCUGCUAUGAGUUACUGAUAUUUUGGUGAUUCGCAAAUAUGUUUGAGCUUAUCAAUUCCCUUGAAGACAGUUGCGAGUAUAACUAAAUCAGUUUUUACUGGUUCAGCUUGACCUUUGAGCACAAUACAUUCUUUUGUGAAUCCAAAAUUCUCUGCUUUCUUGAUGAG
Long non-coding RNA from Capsicum annuum, 911 nucleotides. RefSeq lists it as uncharacterized. The record is from RefSeq and is a predicted model, not a curated record. The transcript is spliced from 4 exons. Lineage: Eukaryota; Viridiplantae; Streptophyta; Magnoliopsida; Solanales; Solanaceae.